This 522-nucleotide long non-coding RNA is filed under the name Populus tremula. RNAcentral describes it as "long non-coding RNA (PTRE_LNC002938)". The record is from RNAcentral. Lineage: Eukaryota; Viridiplantae; Streptophyta; Magnoliopsida; Malpighiales; Salicaceae.
AGAGGUCGAAAACUAUACCUGCAGAUUUUGCUUGCAAACAUGGAAAACAAAACGGUGGGCAUGCAGUCCCUCACAACAAAAGAGCAACAAAAACGCAGCUCUUAACAGUAAUAGAAAUCUAGACUCAAAGUUCUGGAUGUAACAAUGAGAAAGCAUGUAACUUUGCUGUUAAUGGAAAAGUGGCGUCCCGAAACAGAAGUAGAAACAGAUUUUUAAGGGAAAACAAAAAAACAAACCAAAAUCUUUUUCACAGUUUGCUUAUAUAGACCCCUCAAACUUGGAGACCAGCCUCAUGCCUCCUUAUCCCAGCCGUCUGCAUUAGGGCUGAAAUCACAGCCAUUAGAUGGCGUGAGGCUCCCCCCCGUGUCUUCUUCCACAGCUGGCACAGAGGAGGUGCAAAAAACCGUUUCCCUUGACUGGAGCUCUGUGUUGCAGCUGCACAGGCGUGAAAAGGGGGGCUGUCCAGACAAGCCAGGUUGCAGAGGGAAGGACGAUAGUUUUUUUCAAAAAAUAGCAGGGAAU